ACCUGGCUAGCUCAGCUGGUAGCGUAUGGGACUCUUAAUCUCAGGAACGUGGGCUUGAACCCCAUGCUGAGUG
Molecule: non-coding RNA, 73 nt
Organism: Pangasianodon gigas (Mekong giant catfish)
Lineage: Eukaryota; Metazoa; Chordata; Actinopteri; Siluriformes; Pangasiidae
Source: the annotation of a GenBank genome assembly